This 21-nucleotide microRNA is filed under the name Sus scrofa (pig). RNAcentral's name for it is "ssc-miR-9803-5p". Lineage: Eukaryota; Metazoa; Chordata; Mammalia; Artiodactyla; Suidae. The record is from miRBase by way of RNAcentral.
CCAAGGUCAUGAUCGAUCGGC